This 445-nucleotide ribosomal RNA is filed under the name uncultured bacterium. Its description in RNAcentral is "bacterial SSU rRNA". It matches the Rfam family "Bacterial small subunit ribosomal RNA", at positions 354 to 796 of the family's 1533-position model. The record is from RNAcentral.
GUAGGGAAUAUUGGACAAUGGGCGAAAGCCUGAUCCAGCCAUGCCGCGUGAUAGAUGAAGGCCCUCUGGGUUGUAAAUAUCUUUUAUCUGGGAAGAAACUCCUCUAUUCUUAGAGGCCUGACGGUACCAGAGGAAUAAGCACCGGCUAACUCCGUGCCAGCAGCCGCGGUAAUACGGAGGGUGCAAGCGUUAUCCGGAUUCACUGGGUUUAAAGGGUGCGUAGGCGGGUUGAUAAGUCAGUGGUGAAAGCUCCGGGCUUAACUUGGAAACUGCCAUUGAUACUGUCAGUCUUGAAUGUCGUAGAGGUAAGCGGAAUGUUGCAUGUAGCGGUGAAAUGCUUAGAUAUGUUACAGAACACCAAUUGCGAAGGCAGCUUACUAUGCGAUAAUUGACGCUGAGGCACGAAAGCGUGGGGAGCAAACAGGAUUAGAAACCCGAGUAGUCC